This 423-nucleotide ribosomal RNA is filed under the name Triticum aestivum (bread wheat). RNAcentral describes it as "partial small subunit ribosomal RNA". Lineage: Eukaryota; Viridiplantae; Streptophyta; Magnoliopsida; Poales; Poaceae. The record is from RNAcentral.
AUGGUGGGUGAUGGUUGUAAGACGAGAUUUUGGGAGGACACAUGGUUGGGGAGAAAGCCACUUUGUCAACUUUUCCCCCGCUUGUAUAAUUUAACUUUAUGUCAGCAUGUUACUGUUGCUAAAGUCUUUAACCAGGAUUUUGAUUGUAUUAGAUUUAGGAGGUGUCUCUUCGGAGAAACUCUUACAAUGUGGAAUGAAUUAAUUGAUAUGUGUAGUCAGGUUACUCUGUCGGAGGAGCCUGACAAAGUUAAAUGGCUUUUAACUAAAUCUGGAUCCUUCUCGGUUAAAUCGCUUUAUCAUUACCUUAUAGCUAGAGUUGUUACUUUCCCUUUUAAACUUCUUUGGAGGCUGAGAAUACCUCUAAAAGUAAAAUCAUUUAUAUGGUUAGUGAUCAAAGAGGGGUUCCUAACUAAGGAUAACUAG